GACGAACGCUGGCGGCGUGCCUAAUACAUGCAAGUAGAACGCUGAAGAGAGGAGCUUGCUCUUCUUGGAUGAGUUGCGAACGGGUGAGUAACGCGUAGGUAACCUGCCUUGUAGCGGGGGAUAACUAUUGGAAACGAUAGCUAAUACCGCAUAACAAUGGAUGACACAUGUCAUUUAUUUGAAAGGGGCAAUUGCUCCACUACAAGAUGGACCUGCGUUGUAUUAGCUAGUAGGUGAGGUAAUGGCUCACCUAGGCGACGAUACAUAGCCGACCUGAGAGGGUGAUCGGCCACACUGGGACUGAGACACAGCCCAGACUCCUACGGGAGGCAGCAGUAGGGAAUCUUCGGCAAUGGGGGCAACCCUGACCGAGCAACGCCGCGUGAGUGAAGAAGGUUUUCGGAUCGUAAAGCUCUGUUGUAAGUAAAGAACGGGUGUGAGAGUGGAAAGUUCACACUGUGACGGUAGCUUACCAGAAAGGGACGGCUAACUACGUG
RNAcentral lists this ribosomal RNA (497 nucleotides) under uncultured bacterium. RNAcentral describes it as "partial 16S ribosomal RNA". It matches the Rfam family "Bacterial small subunit ribosomal RNA", at positions 28 to 507 of the family's 1533-position model. The record is from RNAcentral.